Molecule: ribosomal RNA, 465 nt
Filed under: Vreelandella stevensii
Lineage: Bacteria; Pseudomonadati; Pseudomonadota; Gammaproteobacteria; Oceanospirillales; Halomonadaceae
Description: partial 16S ribosomal RNA
Rfam family: Bacterial small subunit ribosomal RNA
Source: RNAcentral
CCUACGGGAGGCUGCAGUGGGGAAUAUUGGACAAUGGGGGCAACCCUGAUCCAGCCAUGCCGCGUGUGUGAAGAAGGCCCUCGGGUUGUAAAGCACUUUCAGUGAGGAAGAACGCCUGGUGGUUAAUACCCAUCAGGAAAGACAUCACUCACAGAAGACGCACCGGCUAACUCCGUGCCAGCAGCCGCGGUAAUACGGAGGGUGCGAGCGUUAAUCGGAAUUACUGGGCGUAAAGCGCGCGUAGGUGGCUUGAUAAGCCGGUUGUGAAAGCCCCGGGCUCAACCUGGGAACGGCAUCCGGAACUGUCAAGCUAGAGUGCAGGAGAGGAAGGUAGAAUUCCCGGUGUAGCGGUGAAAUGCGUAGAGAUCGGGAGGAAUACCAGUGGCGAAGGCGGCCUUCUGGACUGACACUGACACUGAGGUGCGAAAGCGUGGGUAGCAAACAGGAUUAGAUACCCGAGUAGUC